GAGAUGAGACUGUGCCUUCGGGAGCCGUGAGACAGGUGCUGCAUGGCUGUCGUCAGCUCGUGUUGUGAAAUGUUGGGUUAAGUCCCGCAACGAGCGCAACCCUUAUCCUUUGUUGCCAGCGGUCCGGCCGGGAACUCAAAGGAGACUGCCAGUGAUAAACUGGAGGAAGGUGGGGAUGACGUCAAGUCAUCAUGGCCCUUACGACCAGGGCUACACACGUGCUACAAUGGCGCAUACAAAGAGAAGCGACCUCGCGAGAGCAAGCGGACCUCAUAAAGUGCGUCGUAGUCCGGAUUGGAGUCUGCAACUCGACUCCAUGAAGUCGGAAUCGCUAGUAAUCGUGGAUCAGAAUGCCACGGUGAAUACGUUCCCGGGCCUUGUACACACCGCCCGUCACACCAUGGGAGUGGGUUGCAAAAGAAGUAGGUAGCUUAACCUUCGGGAGGGCGCUUACCACUUUGUGAUUCAUGACUGGGGUGAAGUCGUAACAAGGUAACCGUAGGGGAACCUGCGGUUGGAUCACCUCCUUACCUGAAAGAA
RNAcentral lists this ribosomal RNA (540 nucleotides) under Salmonella enterica subsp. salamae. RNAcentral's name for it is "bacterial SSU rRNA". It matches the Rfam family "Bacterial small subunit ribosomal RNA", at positions 1003 to 1533 of the family's 1533-position model. Lineage: Bacteria; Pseudomonadati; Pseudomonadota; Gammaproteobacteria; Enterobacterales; Enterobacteriaceae. The record is from RNAcentral.